UCUUCGGAGAGUUUGAUCCUGGCUCAGGACGAACGCUGGCGGCGUGCCUAAUACAUGCAAGUCGAGCGAAUCGAUGGGAGCUUGCUCCCUGAGAUUAGCGGCGGACGGGUGAGUAACACGUGGGCAACCUGCCUAUAAGACUGGGAUAACUUCGGGAAACCGGAGCUAAUACCGGAUACGUUCUUUUCUCGCAUGAGAGAAGAUGGAAAGACGGUUUACGCUGUCACUUAUAGAUGGGCCCGCGGCGCAUUAGCUAGUUGGUGAGGUAAUGGC
RNAcentral lists this ribosomal RNA (273 nucleotides) under Bacillus sp. ISL-53. RNAcentral describes it as "partial 16S ribosomal RNA". It matches the Rfam family "Bacterial small subunit ribosomal RNA", at positions 1 to 264 of the family's 1533-position model. Lineage: Bacteria; Bacillati; Bacillota; Bacilli; Caryophanales; Bacillaceae. The record is from RNAcentral.